UCAGGUGAUCAACCUGCCUCAGCCUCCCAAAGUGCUGGGAUUACAGGCGUGAGCCACCGCACCUGGCCUAGGGGUACCUUUAAUAAAUCUUUUUGGGGGUGCAAUUCAGCCCUCAAGACCAGGUGAGAGAGUCCCUCCCAGUAUGAUUGCAAGCUCAAACCCAUGGAUCCAAAUCAGGAUACCACCUUAAAUUUAACAUAAUGCCCUUAAAAAUGAAAAAGUCCGCAAGCCAUGUUAUCAUCUGGAUUUCAACAAAGAAAAGUGACUCCAGCAUGCAGAGUGGGAUCAACUUGCUCUACCAACUCUGGAUCUUCUGUCAUCUGGAAAUGACGGGGAUCUUGUACUCACGGGCAAUGCCUGCCUACUAUUAUCUUUGGAAUCAGCAUGUGAGGCCCCCUACAGUGCCUCAUCCAUCUGACUCAUGCCGAAGAUGGUCCAGGCGUCACCUGAGCUAUGCUACCUUUGGUAAAGACCCAUGCAGGCUUCUCUUUGCCCUGGAGUCACACUUUCUCCCCUAUUGACACCCCAGCCAGGAUCACACCAAUACCUCCAACAUCAAUCAGAAGUCAACAAGAAUGGAAAACAGACUAAAGUAACUUCUAUGGACAGGGCUGGGUCUA
RNAcentral lists this long non-coding RNA (620 nucleotides) under Homo sapiens (human). RNAcentral's name for it is "HSALNT0382134". Lineage: Eukaryota; Metazoa; Chordata; Mammalia; Primates; Hominidae. The record is from RNAcentral.